AGCUUUGCGCAGUGGCAGUAUCGUAGCCAAUGAGGUUUAUCCGAGGUGCGAUUAUUGCUAAUUGAAUAUGAAGACAGAUUUCAAGUAAAGAGACAGAGAAAUAUCUACUAUGUUAACACUGAC
RNAcentral lists this small nuclear RNA (123 nucleotides) under Neogale vison (American mink). Its description in RNAcentral is "Neovison vison (American mink) U4 spliceosomal RNA (ENSNVIG00000011340.1)". It matches the Rfam family "U4 spliceosomal RNA". From Rfam's summary of the family: U4 small nuclear RNA (U4 snRNA) is a component of the major U2-dependent spliceosome. The structure of U4 snRNA from yeast and human has been reported. The record is from Rfam by way of RNAcentral. Lineage: Eukaryota; Metazoa; Chordata; Mammalia; Carnivora; Mustelidae.